AAUGUAAACUCCACAGUUUACGUUCUAAGUAUAUUAGAAAAAGCGUUACCGCAGAGAGACGGAUCUGACAUUUUAUACAAUUUACGAUUGUGAAGUUAGUAUAGUACCUAGCUGAUAAUAAUCAUAUUUCUAUAUUACCAUUGUCGAUGCAAAUUGCGUAUUAGAAAAUAUCAAACAAUCUUAAGAAAAUUGAUACGCGCGUCAAAAAACGAAUUUUAUGCGUGAAAAUAAUUGAAAAUUUAGUUUACAUUACAGAAACGGGAACUGGGGCGAUUAUUUGACAAUACGAGGCUUAUUUUUUUAAAUUUGACCGAUAAAUCUUAAGUACCUAAAAAAUAUGUUUACUGAACGAAAUAGAAUUGAGAGUUGUUUAGAAACAUUAUAUAGGUUAGACGUUCUCGGGGGAAAUCAAAAAUUAAAAUACACUACGGUUUCUUAAAAAAUAUUCAGAUUAUCGACAAAAUACGAGU
Non-coding RNA from Cinara cedri, 470 nucleotides. Lineage: Eukaryota; Metazoa; Arthropoda; Insecta; Hemiptera; Aphididae. The record is from the annotation of a GenBank genome assembly.